RNAcentral lists this long non-coding RNA (27841 nucleotides) under Nicotiana tabacum (common tobacco). RNAcentral's name for it is "long non-coding RNA (NTAB_LNC003463)". Lineage: Eukaryota; Viridiplantae; Streptophyta; Magnoliopsida; Solanales; Solanaceae. The record is from RNAcentral.
CCCCAGCCCAAAUACCAUUAACCGCCCCUAGCCCAUGACCUGUGACUCAAAACUCCCUCUGGAUCCGCCCAUUUCCCCCUCCAUAUAAAAACCCUGUUAUAACAUUUCCCCCCAAAUUCCCUAACCCUAGAGACCAAAAUCAGAGGCAGCUCCUCUACUGUUCUUCUUCUUCAGUGAACUCGCCUCAACUCGCCUGUGUUUUGAGCGAGUUCACUCAUUGGUCCCCCCUCCAUGUCACCUCAUCCUCAACGUAUUUGUCAGAGGAAUACGAAUUUUCUCUUCGGAAUUGCACGAUUCUUGUACAAAAGGAUGAUUUGCUAGACUAAUGGGAGCCGUGGAUAGAUAUGAAUCAAUCCACACCCUCCAUUUGUCCCGAAAUUGUUCAAAAAUCUAACGAUUUUCGGAUAUUUGAGAAGAAGAUUCAAGAAUUUUUGAGGGUUUAUAUAUAGGAGGUAAGUCUUCUUUUUAGGGGAGAAGAAAAAAUUAGAAAAAAAAAUCGGGAAUAAAUCUUCAGAAAAAAAUUGAGUCAAGUUUUUAGGGUUUGAAGUCACCAUUUUCUUCAAGCCAUUCUUUCUUCAGUCUUUUUUUAAAAAAAAACAAUAUGGUCUAAGUUCGAUUUUGAUUUAAACUUUUUUGUAGUUCAUUUUUUGGAAGAAAAAUCGAGGAAGAAAUCGGAGCACUGGUUUUUCUUCUUGAGUUCUGGUUCUAAAAAGAAUCUGAUUUAAAAUUUCAGUUUGGAGUUGAGUUUUAGAGUUCGAAGUUUCAGUAUUGAUUUGGUUCAGGCUCGUCGAUUCAUAUCUCUUGUUGCUGCUCCUUUCUAGCUUUUGUCUGAGGCUCAUUUUCGUUUGUUCUGGUGUUUCAUUGCUGCUUGUUGCAUUAGGUAUGCCAAAAUAACCUGUGAUUCUCUUUUUUAAAAAUAUAAAAUGAUGUUCAUAAUUAUUCAAUUCUAUGACCAUUCAUAUUGUUUGAGUUCUUAACGUAAUUGUUUGGUUCCCUGUGUCGAUUAUGCCUUAUGUCAGCUGUUCUUGUCAAAGCUCUGCCUCUACUCAUUCAUUAGUUGAGCUUUCUUCUUUUUGUUGUUUGAAAAAUAAAAAUGAGAUGAUUCCAGUUUUGAAUGUGUUAAUAGUGAUUCAUUUUGUUGAAGCAUGUUGGUCGUCUAUAUCUCAUCCCGCCGAGGCCUCCGUUUGUGAUUCUUUGAAGACUUGUAGAGGUUUCUCUUUAAGCAUGAUAUAAUCCGCGGUUUGUUUCAUAAAUCUGCAUGAGGUGAUAAUCAGUAGUCUACAAUACUUUGAUUUAUUUAUAAAUUUUGUGUCAUCAAAGGAAAAUACUCUAGAGCUAGUUGACAUUGGCACUAUAAGGCUAGUGUAGCAUGGAUUUCCAAACAUGAUAGUAUUUAAGUUGUUACUAGUAUAAGACUCUUCAGAUUUCUUUUGUUUUCCAAGUAAAGGGAACUUUUCUUCCCAGUUCAAAAAGUAGAUUUAAGGGAAUUGCUGAAGAUCUAAUAAAGAGUGUGAUGGGCUACCUGUGAAGUUGAAUUGGGCAUGAUUGGUAGCUGGUAAAUGUGGGUAUAUUCCCGUUUUUGUUGUUGCUGCUCAUGUAUGCCUCUCUUUAUAAUAACUUCUGAAUUUUAAUUUGAUUAUGGGACUUUUAGUUGGUAAUGGUUUAACAUAGGCUAUGGCAUAAUCUCUUCUCUUCUUUUAAAAAUAAUAGGGUGUAUUAGUUUUAUUUUGGAAUCAGUUUCUUGUAACAACAUAGUUAGUUUAAUGUUUAAAUUAUUAUUGAUCUAAAGAAACGUGUUAAUUUAGGUAAUUUGAUUGUGCUAUCCUGCAAACAUUCUUAUCAUUCUGAAUAUCUGAACAAUUGGUUACAAAUAAACAAGGUCUGUCCAAUGUGUAGCACUGAGGUCUCCACCUUUGGAAACAACUAGCGUUAUUGUGUUACUGAAUUGAAGUUAGUAACUUAGUUCAAUACAGUCAUUGAUAGUAACAUAGAGACUAAUAUCUGCUUGUUUGACCAAGUCUUCAAUCACUCUUGGAUGGCUUCUUUGUUCUCUGUUUCUCAUAUAUCAUGAAUGUACCAAGUUAGCAGAAUAAAAGUUGGAAUUUCUUUUUUCCUUGAUCGUGAUUUACUAUCCUGACAUUGAAAAAUGAAGCCAUUGAUUUGUGCUUAUCAUAUUUGAGACUUAAUUGUACAUGAAAGGCAGUGAGAACAUUUUUUUAAAUAUGCACAUUUUUUUGUUAAGACUCGUUUAAUACACUUUGUUCUCGAUGAGAUUACAUAACUCCUAUCCUCUGGCAGGCGUCUCAAUUUAGUUUAGGAAGUAAAUCAAAUUUCGUAGUUUGCUUUUAGCCCGAUUUAGAUUAGUAUUGCGAUUAUAUAUAUGUUCGCAUAAUAUGAUUGCAAAUUAAAUUCUUAAAAGACUCGAGGUAUACAUUCGCGCAACUUCAACCAAACUUUCUUAAUAAAUCAACAAAAGUGUUAUUAAUCAUGGACACGUUCGCAUGACAUGAUUUUGACUCGCCAAAAGAAAAGAGUAUACGUACGCGUAACUCAAUUCUUUAAUUACAAAUAAUUCAAGUGAUUUAAAAGUGGUAAAGAGAUAAAUGCACAUAGGUCCUAAAAAUGAGUAGUUAAAUAAUUUAAGCCAAAUAUAAAUUGCUAAGCGACCGUGCAAGAACCACGGAACCCGGGAAUGCCUAACACCUUCUCCCGGGUUAACAGAAUUCCUUACUUAGAAUUUUUGGUUCGCGGACUUCGAAAAGGAAAGUUGAAAUUUCCUCGAUUUGGGAUUUAAAAUAAACCGGUGACUUGGAUCACCAAAUAGAAUAUUCCAAGUGGCGACUCUGAAAAAAAAAAUAAUCCCACAUCGAUUAAUAUCACUUUAAUUGGAAAAACUCCCUUAUAUCACCUUUGGGUGUGUAAAAAGGAGGUGUGAUAGCAGCUUGAGAAGAAAGAUGUCCUAAUGAAGGAGGAACUCCGAGCCAGGGACUCUAAAAUUCUCGAACUCAAACAACACGUGAGUGAGAUAGUCUCUGAGAGAGAUACCCUCCAGGGGGAGGUGGCCUCUAUCGGGCAUCAACUUGAAGAUGCAAGGGCGGAGAGUAACAAGUACAGGGAUCUUCAUACUGGGUUGGUUGUUGCGUUAUCCAAGGUUAGGGCUGAAGCCGAGGAGCUCGUAUCCUCGUACAAAGAUGAUGCUGCUACUGCAAAUGCUCAGGCCAGGAAAGUGUCCGAGGAGGCCGAGCUUCCAUUGACCCGAACUAUGGGGCAUGCCCAUUUAGAAUCUCGGAGAUGGGCUCUCGAGGAUAUGUAUGCAGGGGGCAUCGAUUUGUCCGCCGAAAUCGAUAGGGUGAAGACCUUAGAAGAGGAGGACGCAGCCCUGUUUUCCUCUGAAGACGAGUAGAGUAGUGACUAGGGAGAUGAUGAAGAUAGAGGCAAGAUCCCCGAAGGGGGAGAGGCUGUUGAAAACCCGGGGGUUAUGAUCGGUGCUGUUGAAAGCACAAUUUCUAAGGGAGCUGUCAAAGGCAUAGCCUCGGUGGUAGAUUAGGGUUUUAUUUGUUUUUGCCAUUGCUAGGUCUUUAGACAUAGGCCUUGUAGAUGCACCUUUGUGAACCUUCCAACAUAUAUGUAAAGGCUUUUUCAUCCUUUUUUGCUUUAAAUUUUGACGUUCGUCAAUGGUUAGCCAGAUGAAUUGGGCUUCGGGGUAAAACCCUUAGGUUUACAAAUCGGCCCUGAGGCUUGUUAGGCCGGCUCGCAGGCUCUUAUGCAUUUGCCCUUAGGCUUUUUAGUUAACUGUUUCGGGCUCAGUCUUCGAGUCGGAUUUCGACUCGAGCCCAGUGACCCUUAAGUUUUCAAAAUUUAAUUAGGCUCUUAAGCUCUAGGUCGGUACGACCUUUAAUUUUAAGCUGGCGAUAGUGGCUCUUACACAUUGGGUCGGUACGACCUUUAAUUUUAAGCUGGCGAUAGUGGCUCUUACGCAUUGGGUCGGUACGACCUCAUAAUAUAGGCUGGCAUCUGGGCUCUUACGUAUUGGCCCUUAGGCAUAUUUAGUUAACUGUUUCGAGCUCAGUCUCCGAGUUGGAUUUCGACUCGAGCUCAUUGACCCUUAAGUUUUGAAUUUUAAGUUGUCUCUUAGGCUCUUACGCGUUGGGUCGGUACAACCUUUAAUUUUAAGCUGGCGAUAGUGGAUCUUACGCAUUGGCUCAGUAUGACCUUUAUUUUUAAGCUGGCGACAGUGGCUCUUACGCAUUAGGUCGGUACGACCUUUAAUUUUAAGCUGGCGACAGUGGCUCUUACACAUUAGGUCGGUACGACCUUUAAAUUUAAGCUGGCAACAGUGGCUCUUAUGCAUUGGGUCGGUACGACCUCUUAUGUAGGCUUUAUUUUUCCCUCGCUAAUGACUUUUUGAAAUUUUUGUGCUCGCCCGACUCUUCGACGGUUCGAUAAGAACCACGAUUGUGAGCCGUUAUGUAGCGAUGAAUGAGCACCUCGGGAGGUUUAGCUUGAUGGCUGAAUUGUUUUGAAGCCUAUUGUUUGGACCUAAUGUGAUCGAAGCUUUUUUGCUUAUGUCAAGGGUAGCCUGAGUAACCAUUUCUUUUUAAAGUUUUUUCGAAGUAAUUGAAGGCCUGUGAUUUUAUAGCGAUGGUCCAGCAUCCCUAAGUCGCCUGAGUUCGACCGGAGCUUUGUGACCGUAGUCAUUUGUUUGGUCAUAGCCUUUCAGUCCCCGAGUGAAGUAGUUUUGGCAUCUUAUCGAGGGUAUGCCUUUAUAGAGGUCUUAUAAGUUCAGAUAUAUAGCCUUAACUUUAAGAUCAGAAUUAUACCUUUUGUAAGGUCUUAGAAAUUUUAACAUGCCUCCCUUGAGGUCUUAUAGAUAAGUUACUUGGUACAAGUAUGGUUCAUGCCGUGCUUGACGUCUUACAGGUAAGUUACUUGGUACAAGUAUGGUUCAUGCCUUGCUUGAGGUCUUACAGUUUUGGUGUUGCCUUAUAGAGGUUUUAUAUUGUUGAUAAUGCCUUGUGGAGGUCUUACAUUUUCUAGUAUUGCCGCAUGGAGGGCUUUCGGGCUCGAGGUUGCCCGCUUGGGGUCUUACGGCCUUGAUUUUCUGAUUGCUUAAUGGGAUGAUAGUUGACGAUAGUCCCCAAGACGUCGAAAGUGUUUUGGCUCUGGAGCCAUUCUUUGUAAGCUUGGUGUUACCUCAUUGAGGGCUUACGAGUUUGAAGUUUCCGACCUGUAGGUCAUAUGGCUUCGAGUUUUUGACGUCAGUCGCCGAGUGUUCGGGAAAUUUUUUGCUCUGGAUCCAUUUCUUGUAAAAAAAUAGCAGACUUCUUUGAAGCGUAAAGGGUUUUGAUGGAGGAAAAAUAUUCUUUGAUUACUUGGCACAAGUAUACAUGUUUUUGUUGUCAAGGGUUCAGUUAUUCCAUGCGGAUACGGUUCGUUUGACCGUUUGGCCCGAUACAUCGUUUUCCUAUUGAGACCUUUUUUGACCCAUCUUGACUUCUUUGAGAAGGUGAUCUUUAGGGGGGAUGCCCCCCAGUGUUUGAGGUUGAUUGAGGAUAAGCCUUGCACUCUUGUGAAAUUCUCCUUAAGUAGCAUAUAGAUGUUGCCUCGUUAAAAACCUUGUCGGUAAAACCGUUUUUGGGAUAAAACCCGACCGAAGGAAAAGAGUGCAACGUAUGCUUUGAAACCUUAAGGUCUUCGAGCUGGACAGCGCUUCGACUGUUCUGAUCGGACAUCUGCACAAAGGUUAGUGUAAGAUGUAAAUAAAAAGGGAUAUGAUUAUACCUCAGUGGUGAUAGCACUUUGGGCCUCGAUAUGUUUCAAACGUUUACUUCGGGGACACGGCAUGGUCCUUCGCUUGUUUUAUUCGGGUGUAGCUGAGAAUGUGUCUCGUGAUUUCUACUUCACUGUUUGCUUAUCCUUUGGCCCCUUCGAUGUUGGAGGCGUUGAUGUCGGUGCCACAUCGUGCACCGCGAACAUUUACCUCGCUACAUGUUGUUCCCCAUACAUGGUUUUUAUUCCGUCCUUAAUUGGGAACUUCAUUAUUUGAUGAAUGGUUGAUGGUACUGCUCUCAUAUAGUGUAUCCAUGGCCUUCUAAGCAAGGCGUUGUACCUCAUGUCUCCUUCGAUGACAUGGAAUUUGACAUUUUGGAUCGUGCCGGCCACGUUAAUCGGGAGAGUGAUUUAACAUUUCGUUAUUUCACUCGUCAUAUUGAAUCCGUUGAGGACUCGAGAGGCGGGCAUGAUCUGGUCGAGCAGUCCGAGCUGCUCCACCACCCUCGACCUGAUAAUGUUGGCCGAGCUACCUGGAUCCACCAGCACACAUUUAAUUUGAAAUGUAUUCACAAGAAAAAAAUUACCAAGGUAUAGUUAUGAGGUUGAGACAGGGUCUUGAUGUCCUCAUCGCUGAAUGUGAGAGCAUCUUUGGGUAUGUAGCCCUGAGUUCGCUUCUCCCUGGUGAUGGAUAUAUUUGUUCUUUUGACUAUGGGUUUCUGCGGGAUGUCGAUUCCUCCAAUGAUCAUGCGGAUGACAUGUUGUGGCUCAUCUGUUUCAUUCUUCCUGUUCGCCUCUCUUUCCCGGAACUGAUUUUUGGCUCGGUCGCUAAGGAACUCUUGGAGGUGCCCUUUGCUGAGUAGCCGGGAAACUUUUUCUCGGAGCUGACUGCAAUCUUUGUUCUUGUGACCGUGCGUGCCGUGAAAUUCGCACACUAAGUUGGGUUUCCUUUGCGACGGGUCUGAUAGUACAGGUCUUGGCCACCUGGUGUCUUUGAUUUUACCGAUGGCAGAUAAGAUGUCUGAAACGUCAAUGUUGAAGUUGUAUUCUGACAGGCGGGGUGCCUCCCUCGGUCUUGUGUGUCUAUCGAAUCCGACUCUACUCACGAGUCCCGAGGAUUCUGACCUCAGUCUGUUCUUCAAUCAUUCCAGGGUAUGUUACGCCUUGGGGCAUUUCUCCUAUCUUCGGUGUAUGGUUGGUACCUUUCCUUAUUUGGCUUUGGCUCCUUUUCUAGGAGUCUGCUUGGAUAUACUGAGCCCGAGGGGGCUCCUAGUUGGUCGUCCUUGACCCUAAUCUUCGAUUGAUAUUGGUUAUGGACAUCCGACCAAGUUAUGGCGGGGUAUUCAACCAAAUUCUGCUUCAGCUACUUCGAAGCCACCGAGCUUUGUUCAUUCAAGCCUUGGGUGAAGGCUUGCACUGCCCAAUCAUCGAAGACUGGUGUUAAUUCCAUUAGUUCCAUUUGAAAGUGAGAUACGAACUCCCGCAAUAUCUCUUUUUCUCUUUGUUUAAUUUUGAAGAUGUCGGAUUUCCUUGUAUCCACCUUGAUGGCACCGGCAUGUGCCUUUAUGAAAGAAUCUGCCAGCAUGGCAAAUGAGUCUAUUGAAUUCGGAACUAGGUUGUGAUACCACAUCAUGGCCCCUUUCGAGAGUGUUUCUCCGAACUUUUUCAGCAAAAUUAAUUCGAUCUCGUCGUCCCUCAGGUCGUUGCCCUUCAUCGCACAAGUGUAAGCAGUGACGUGCUCGUUGGGGUACAAGGUUCCAUUGUACUUCGGAAGAUCGGGCAUUCUGAAUUUCUUUAGAAUGGGCUUUGGAGCGGCAUUUGACGGGAAUGGCUUUUGUAUGAAUUUCUUUGAAUCAACACCCUUCAGGAUCGGGGGUGCGCCUGGGAUCUGGUCGACCCUUGAAUUGUAGGUUUCCACGUUUUUGUCGUUAGCUUAUAUCAUCUUUUCGCCCGAUUCAAUCCUCUUUGUGAGGUCCUCGAGCAUCUUCAUAGUAGGGGUCGACUGCUAAUCCGUUGUUAGUCGAUCUUUUCGGUACCUGUUCGGCUCGGGGAGCCAUUUCCGGCGCUGCUGUGCUCGGAGUUUUUUGGUGGCUUUGCAGUUGAGCAAUCACCGGCUGUUGUGCCUAUAACAUCUCAAAAAUAAUGUGAAGGCUAAUCUCUUGUUCUCCUCACGCUGGGAUUUCCUGAGCUUCUUGUUGGUUUUCUUGGCGUAUACUUCUGUCGGUGUGGGAGUUGAUGUCGAUAUGUUGAGCAUUGCGCGAGAUCACAUCUAUGGGAAUUUGUUUUGAUGCAUCUUCAGAGUUUCGUGGUGGUACACCAACACCUGGAACAGCUACACCAUUCUCUCCAUGGUCCUCCAGACCGUUGUUUUCAUGUGCGUUUACUAAGGUAGACAUUUUGACCUGAAAUCAAAGAUUCUUAGACAAGAAAAAACAUGAAAAAUAACUUGUAUUAUGUAGUAAACUAGAAAGAAAACAAUCACUAUUAUUUUUAGCCCCACGGUGGGCGCCAAACUAUUUACCUUGAAAAUAGUAAUUACAAUUAAAUUUGAUUUUGUGGUUCUAAAAAUACGUGAUUUAUUCCUAUGCUAGUUUUUAGGUAGUUGAUGCUAAGUGUGAGACUAGAAAAUGAGAUAAGAACUUGAAAGCAAUAUGUUUAGGCGAACCAAGUGGUUGAGAAUCGGGGCCACGAGCCAGGUUAUACGGGUCCUCGAGGUUGAGCUAGGUAUCAAGCUGUGGAUAGCCGAUGAAGGACUAACAGCUUUGAAAGCUUUGAUGAGAGCUCUUUAUGAUCAAUAAUGAGCAAUAAAUGAAGAACGAUUAAUGAAAUACAAUAAAUGUAAGCAAUAGAAUCAUUGGAGAAAGUGUUUAAGUUAGAGAUCAGAGAAUGUUCUUGUUCUUGUAUUGAAUGUUGUAUAUGUUAUCAUGUGUGCAAAAAUAACAAGGGUCCCCUUUAUAUGGCAGGGGCUAUCCCAAUAUAGUACAUGUGCAUUUAUUACAAAGAAAUGUAGUUGGUACAGCUACCUAGCAGUCUGAUACAGACGGGUACUAUUCUUGUAGGUUUUGUCGGUUUUAACCACGUCCCUAGGGAACUUCCCGUUUAUCCAUGAUGACCAUCGAUUUAAGCUGCCCCGAGGUCGGGCAUUCGAACCGUGCCCUGGGACUUCGAAGUGAAGCUACGGAGAGAUAUGAUGAUCGUAAAAUCAUGCUCUCCGAUUUUAUCCGUGUAAACUGCUCAAUAUCCUUCGUUGUAGAACUACCUGCAUCCAUUAAAGAUGCAGCGCCCCCGGCAAAAGGGACGUUAGUACGUGUCGAAUAGUACUAGUAAGAAAACCAAACACCUAAUCAAUAACUUGGAAAUACAACAUGAAUAUAAUGAGUCAGGUGACAAUAAAAUGCGGGUGGAAGUGCAAUCACAAUACCACAACUCUACUCAAGCGGCCCUACUGCCUCAUCCCAAUGUAUGCGGGUGGAGGUGUAACCGCAGUACCAAAACCUACACAAAGCGGGCCUGCCGCCUCACCCAAUAUAUACGGGUGAAGAUGGAAAAAUGAUACCAAUACGACACAAAGUGGACAUGCCUCCUCACCCCAAUAUAUAUGCAGGUGGUGGUGUAACAACAAUACUAAAAUCUCACACAAAACGGCCAUGCCGCCUCACCCUAAUAUAUACGGGUAGAGGUGUGAUCCCAAUCACAAUUUCUACACAAUUUGGCAUAAUAUUUCAUAUGAAACAUGACUUGGAGUCACAACAUGUAAAUACACAAACCAUAGUUUGGAACACAUCCUAAAUUAAUAGUAAAACAUAAUAAGAGCAUUUGAAACACGAAUUGAACAUAUCUCUGCGUCGCCAAGCUUAUUCGGAAUAAUCAAUUUGUAAUAAACAUCUUGUAACUUACAAGGGUAAUGUGGGGUUCAAUUCUUAAAUAAGAGUUUAGCCAACAUACCUCAAUUAAGCUUCCUUAAACUCUAAAAUGUUCCGGAAUUCUUAGCAAUUUUGAUCUAUUUUAGAAAUGUAACAAAUUGCACCAAAAUUAGGAAGAUGAUCAUGGUUCUAGCUCAUUUGAGCAUUUUAUCAAACACUAGGUGUACAUUAAGGUUUCAAAGUCCCUUUAUGGAGGAUUCCAUCAUCCCAUAACUCAUCCUAGUGAGUUUUCCUUGUUAAUCUUCCAUGAGUUGAGCAAGAAUUGAAUGACAAAUUGUUGAGGAACUCUCCCUCACUCUAGGGCACUCUCUCACUCUAAAAAAUAUCAGAUUUUGCAAGAAAUAUUGUCCAUUGCCUCUAUUUAACGAUUUAGGGUCGUGUUAUAAAAUCCCAAAAAUGAAGCUCCGGAACAGGAUCUGCAGUCGCAUAUGCAACCGCAUAAUGCUUCUGCGGACCGCAAAAUGGGUCGCAAAAUGGCCCUCCGGAACUGGGCAAAACUGACUGGGUUUGCGGUCACUAUGCAGCCUGCAGACUUGUUCUGCGGUCUCACAAUGCACCGCAGACCUGUUCUGCAGUGGCAUAGUCAAUCACAAAAGGGCAUCCAAACUUGCUAAUUUUUGCCUCACUCUGUGGCCAUUAUGCCGCCCGUAGAGUGGUUUUGCGGUCACAUAGUGGACCGCAGAAAUGUCUGGUUCUAAAAUAUUACUUUUACUCCCUAACGUAUUGUUCAACCCAAAAUAUUCGUACCAUUGCGACCAAGAAUCUCAACAAUCAUGAACAUGUAAGUCUAUCGCAGCACCGCAAGAUCCCCGAUUUUAGGUACAAUUUUACAGGGCCUUACAUCCUCCCCUAUUUAAGAUCAUUCAUCCUCGAAUGAGGGUAAAAGUUCACUAUUAGCACCCAAUGAGUCUCAGUUGCUUCAUUACACUUUUAACGGUCUCAAAUUUUGACUAACUCCCUAAAUUUCCAAAACCUUUGCCAGAAUUUCCCCUGUAACUGGGCAUAUCAACCUUCUAGAGAAUCCCAAAAACAAAUCCUAUCAACAUAUACAUAAUCCAUUGAUGUAACAUAAUACAAAAUAACACCAAUUAUGGCCUCAUAAGCAACAUAUAACCAGAAUGGAGUACCUUUACCCCCAACUAUACAAGAGAUACACAAUUCAUAGGUGACAGUUUCAUAGAAAUAUUACAUAGAUAUUCAAACAAAUAAGGAUACUUCUUCUUCAUCUCUUCCUCGACCUCCCAAGUAGCCUCUUCAACAUAUUGGUUUCGCCAUAACACUUUCACGGAGGCAAUUUAUUUAUUUCUCAGUUUUCGGACUUGCUUAUCAAGAAUGGCAAUAGGGAUUUCUUCAUAGGUCAGUUCUUCGUUAACCUCAAUAGUCUCAAUUGCACAACAAGCGACGGAUCUCCGACUACCUUCUUCAACAUAGACACAUGAAAUAACGGGUGCACUAAUGAUAUCUCAGGUGGUAGCUCCAGCUUGUACGCCACCUGACCAAUUCUCUGAAUGAUUUUGUACGGCCCGAUAUACCUCAGGCUCAAUUUUCCUUUUUUACUAAACCGCAUUAUACCCUUCAUGGGGUAAAGCUUCAAGAAUACCCAGUCAUAUUCUUUGAACUCCAAAUCCCUGUGACGAACAUCCAAAUAGGACUUCUAACGACUCUGAGCAGUCUUCAACCGCUCUUUAAUGAUCUUAACCUUCUCCAUAGCCUGAUGCACGAGGUCCAGCCUAUCAAUUCUGCUUCUCUAAUCUCGAACCACCCAAUGGGAGAUCUACAUUUCCUACCAUAUAACGCCUCGAAUGGUUCCAUCUGAAUACUAGCAUGAUAACUGUUAUUGUAGGAAAAUUCUAUGAGUGGCAAAUGAUCAUCCCAACUACACUUGAAAUCAAGAACACAAGCACGCAACAUAUCCUAAAGCGUCUGAAUAGUCCACUCUACCUGCUCGUCGGUCUGUGGAUGAAAAGCUUUACUAAUAUUCACCUGAGUACCCAAACCUUGCUAAAUUUUCUUCCAAAAAUUAGCCAUGAAUUGUGCCCCUCGAUCAGAAAUGAUAGAAACUGGAGUUCCAUGCAACCUUACUAUUUCCUUGAUAUACAACUGAGCAUAUUGUUCUGCUGUGUUAGUAAAUUAAAUUGGCAAGAAGUGUGUUGAUUUCGUGAGUCGAUCCACAAUCACCCAAGCUGAGUCAAACUUGCACGGAGUGUGCGGCAGUCCUACCACAAAGUUCAUAUUAAUCAUUUCUCAUUUCCACAUUGUAAUUUGUAUAUUCUAUGCCAACCCACCAGGCCGUUGGUGUUCGGCCUUUACCUGCUGACAAUUUGAACAUCUUGCCACAAAGUCCACCACAUUCAUCUUCAUGUCAUUCUACCAAUAAAUGUCCUUGAGAUCAUGAUAAAUCUUUGUAGAGCUCGGAUGCACGGAAUACCUAGAAGUGUGAGCCUCGGUCAUGAUUCUUUUCGGAGACCAUCUAUAUUUGGGACACAUAAUCUCCCUUGGUACCUUAGUGUAGCAUCAUCCAUGCCAAGAGAAAAAGCCAUAGACUUAUGUUUAUGAAUCCCCUCUUUCAAUUGUACCAACAAUGGAUCGUUGUAUUGCUUCUCUUUGACUUCCACAACAAGCGAUGAUUCAACCCUAUUUUACACAAUUACCCCUCCUUCAUUAGAGUCCACAAGACGAACUCCCAAACUAGCCAACAAAUGAACCUUCUUGGCCAAGUCUUUGAUAUGCCUCCAGGUGAGCCAAACUACACAUGGAUUUUCGGCUAAGAGCAUCCGCCAAAACAGUGGCCUUUCCCAGGUAAUACAGGAUAUUGAUGUCGUAAUCUUUGAGUAACUCAAGGCAUUUUCUCUGCCUCAGAUUCAGAUCCUUCUGUUUGAAAAUAUAUUGAGGCUCUUAUGGUCCGUGAAUAUAUCUACAUGGAACCCAUAUAGAUAAUGAUACCAAAUUUUCAAUGCAAAUACCACCGCUACAAGUUCUAAGUCAUUUGUUAGAUAGUUCUUUUCAUGAUUCUUGAGUUGCCUAGAAGCAUAAGAUAUCACCUUGUCGUGUUGCAUCAAUACACACCCAAUCCCGAUCCUUGAAGCCUCACUAUAAACCACAAACCCAUAUGUACCCUCUGGUAGGGUCAACACUAGCGUCGUAGUCAAUCUUGAUUUCAGUUCCUGGAAGCUCCCUUCACAAGCAUCAGACCAUUGAAAUUGAAUUGCCUUUUACGUCAAUUUAGUCAACGAAGAGGCAAGAGUAGAGAACCCCUCCACAAACUUUAUGUAAUACUCAGCUAAGCCUAAGAAACUGCGAAUCUCUGCUGGAGUUGUAAGUCUAGGUCAAUUUUUCACAGCUGCAAUCUUCUGAGGAUCAACCUUAGUUCCUUCUUUGGAGACAACAUGACCCAAGAACGUGACAGAUUCAAGCCAGAAUUCACAUUUUGAAAACUUUGCAUACAACUUGUGCUAAUUUAGAGUUUGCAAAACUGCCCUGAGAUGAAUUGCAUAGUCCUCUCGACUCCAUGAAUAUACAGGAAUAUAGGAAAUGAACACUAUCACAAAGGAGUCAAGAAAAGGCUUGAAGACUCGAUUCAUAAGAUCCAUGAAAGUCGUCAGGGCAUUCGUUAGCCCAAAAGACAUCACUAAAAAUUGAAAGUGCCCAUACCAUGUUCUAAAAGCUAUUUUCGGAAUAUCCUGCUCCCUAAUCUUCAAUCGGUGAUACCCGGAUCAUAAAUUAAUUUUAGAGAAGUACCUAGCACCCUGUAAUUGAUCAAACAAGUCAUCUAUCUUUGGUAGUGGGUACUUAUUUUUUAUUGUGACUUUGUUGAGCUGUCGAUAGUCAAUACACAUCUGUAAUGACCCAUCUUUCUUUAUUAUAAAGAGAACUAGUGCGCCCCAAGGCGACACACUCGAUCGAAUGAAACCCUUCUCUAAAAACUGCUUCAAUUGUUCCUUUAGUUCCUCCAAUUCUAUCAGUGUCAUUCUGUACGGUGGAAUAGAUAUAGGUUGCGUGUCUGGCAUCACAUCAACCUUGAAGUCAAUCUUCCUAUCUUGUGGGAUCCCGGGGAGUUCAUCCGGAAAGACCUCCUGAAAUUCAUUCACAACCGGCACAGACUCAAGUGUAGGUGCCUCAACAUCGGUGUCCAUAACCCGAACCAAAUGGUAGAUACACCCUUUGUUGAUCAUCUUUGUGGCCUUAGGCUAAGAAAUAAAUCUACCCUUCGGCACCAUUCGAAUCUAACGGUUCUAGUUCGGCAAUCAAGAUUGGCAAAACAUGAAUAAAGCCAGUCCAUCCCCAUGAUUACAUCAAAAUCAACCAUCCCCAAUUCGAUAAGAUCAGCCAUGGUGUCCCAACCACGCAGCAUGACAACACAAUCCCUAUAAACCCGUGAAGCCACAAUAGACUUACCAACUAGAGUAGAUAUAGAUAACGGCUCAUAAAGUUUCCGGUUCUAUCCCAAAUACCACAGUAACAUAAGGGAUGACAUAGGACAAAGUGGAACCGGGAUUAAUAAGAGCAUACACAUCAUGAGACCGGACAGUCAAUAUACCUGUGACAUCUGGAGAGGCCUUUGAAUCCCGACACCUCCACAUAGCAUAAAAUCUAUUGAGCCCUUCCAAGUUUUGGGUACCACCCCUAACUGUAUCACGCCCUGUGGGUGCUAGAGUGCCUCGAGUUGGAGGAGGUGUUGCAGAAGUUGUAGUUCCAGAACUAGCUGGCUGCAUCGCACCCCUGCCCAUGGUCUGGCAAGACGAGCAGCAAUCCCUCUGAAUGUGACCCCUCAUACCCCAUUAAUAGCAUAAAGGUAGGUCCAGGAAACAGACCCCAAAGUGCAUCCUCCCACACUUGGGGCAUGGGGGCCUUCGCUGCUGCUGGAAUCUCCCUCUAGAUUGACCGUGCUGGUAGGGCCCCCUGUUUCCCUGAUUGGGCCAAAUACUCCACUACUGCUGAUUGGGCCCUAAUGGUUGUGCACUCAUCGAAGACUGAGCGAACGACUGAGAUGGACCUGAUGACCCUCCCCUAAAUGCCGACCUACUACCACUACCACGGGAAGAACCACCAAAGUUGCUCGCGGACCGAGCCUUAUUGCUACCUUCACGCUCCAUUCUAUUUUUCAAUUUACGAUUCUCUGUAGCUUGAACACCACCAUCUUACCAUAGUUCAUAUCAAAAUUCAAGGCAACUGUCGCAACCUCAUUGAUAACCAAGGGGUUAAGGCCCUGCACAAACCGGCGGACACUAGCCUCCUUAGUGGGCAACAUGUGAAUAGCAUACUUGGACAGCCGCGCAAACUCCAUUUGGUAAUUUCACACACUCAUGCUCCCCUAUUUCAAGUUCUUAAACUCAGUGGCACGAGCCACCUUGGUCUCAGCACGCAAGAAAUGAUCCAUGAAGGCAUCGGUGAACUCACUCCACCUUACCGGAGGGCUCCCCUUAUCACGGAAUUCCGCCCACAACUCAAACCAAGAAUAGGUCACCCUUUUCAAGCGGUAGGAGGCCAACUCCACUCCCUCCGUCUCAGUAGCAUGCAUAACCCGAAGAGUCCUGUGCAUCUCAUCAAUGAAGUCAUGGGGGUCCUCCUUGGGAUUAGUACCCGAGAACACUGGAGGAUCUAACUAAAGGAAAUUGUUCACCCUAGAACUAGCAAAUUCUCCUAGCUGACUAGAAGAAGUAGGCCCCACACUCGAUCUCUAGGCCUGAGAAGCCACUAUCUGUGCCAACAUUUGUAUGGCUCCCCUAAGAUCCCAUUGGAAACACCGGGUCCGAAAGCUGGGGCUAAUGGUGGAAUCGGAAUAUCAGUUGGAGGAUUCGUUGCACCCUCAUCGGGUGUAGGAACUGGUGCAUCCUGAAUAAGAAUAGUAGGAUCAGGCAGUGUAGUAAUUGGGGGAAUAUCCUCGUCCCUCGGGUUUUCACCCGCAUCAUCAAUUAUAGAAUCAACCACCACUCCUGGGGUCAUUGGCUCCUUGGCCAGUUCUUGCCUUCUUCCUAGGCGCCAUUUACUAAAAGUUAGAGCAAUGCUCGAGUUAAAGGAGGAACAAUCUUACAGUCAGCUUUAUCGCAUUAUGAAGAACAUCAAAGAAGGGUAUUAUUCCUAAAUGUCCAAGUAGACUCCUAAUUAUAGAUGUUGUUAAAAAUACACCAAUAUGGACUCUACUAGACAUGGCUCCAAGACACCCUAGGACACAUUAAAACCUUAGGCUUUGAUACCAAGUUUGUCACGCCUCAGAAUCGGGGAGCGCGACCGACGCUCAAACGAGUGAACUCGGUCAAGCAAGCAUGUUGAAUGCUUUCUACCCAACUCACCCAUGAUUUAAAGAGAAUGCAUACCUUGUAAAUUGACCAACAAGGAGAUCAUGUAGACAAUACCAAUUAUACAACCAUUAGUUACUUCAUUUAAUAAGUCUCCAAAAUAAUAUGUUUCAUAACCAUAGUUUAGCAAUAGGAGCAUGUGAUACAAUUACGACAUCUUUAGUUCAACUUUUCCCACACCAAUACACAACCCACACUAUGUCUACGGAGCCUCUAAAGAUACCAAAGAAUACAAUGAUAGUGCCAACAACAAGGCUACAGCUAUACAUUAAACAUGAUAAUACAUACUAAACAAAAGAUGGACAACUCCAAAAUAAGAUGGGGCUCACCAAGUCAGCUGGGAAAAAUGAUCACCGCUAUUACCGGUCAAUAUCCUCUGUUGUGGAACCACAUGCAUCCAUGGAAAAAGGGACGUUAGUACAUGUCAAAUAGUACUAGUAUGAAAAUCAAACACCUAAUCAAGAACUUUGAAAUACAACAUGAAUAUAAUGAAUCAGGGUGACAAUAGAAUAGCAUAGAUAGCCAUUGAAACCAAAGCAAAUUUAUCAAGAGUUGUCAAUAAUAUUUAUAAAUUUUAAGACGGAAUCCUUUGUAACCAUCUUUACACAAAGCGGCCCUGCCGCCUCACCCCAAUAUAUGCAGGUGGAGGUGCAAGCAUAAAACCACAACUCUGCUCAAGCGGCCCUGCCGCCUCACCCCAAUAUAUGGGGGUGGAGGUGUAACCAUAGUACCAAAACCUACACAAAGCAGCCAUGCCACCUCACCCCAAUAUAUACGGGUGGAGGUGUAACAACGAUACCAAUAUGACAUAAAGCGUCCAUGCCACCUCUCCAAUAUAUACGCGGGUGGUGGUAUAACAACAAUACCAAAAUCCCACACAAAGCGGCCCUGCUGCCUCACCCCAAUAUAUAAGGGAGGAGGUGUAAUCUCAAUCACAAUCUCUACAUGGCAUAAUAACUUUCAUAUGAAACACGACUUGGAGUCACAACAUGUAAAUAUACAAUCUAUAGCUUGGAACACAUCCUCAAUUAAUAGUACAACAUAAUAAGAGUAUUUGAAACACGGAUUGAACAUAUAUCUUUGUUGCCAAGCUUAUUUGGAAUAAUCGAUUUGGAAUAAACAUCUUGGAACUUACAAGGGUAAUGUGGGGUUCAAUUCUUAAAUAAGAGUUUAGCCAACAUACCUCAAUUGAGCUUCCUUAAACUCUAAAAUAUUCCGGAAUUCUUAGCAACUUUGAUCUAUUUUAGAAAUGUAACAAAUUGCACCAAAAGUAGGAAGAUGAUCAUGGUUCUAGCUUAUUUGAGCAUUUUAUCAAAUACUAGGUGUGCAUUAAGGUUUCAAGGUCCCUUUAUGGAGGAUUCCAUCAUCCCAUAACCCAUUCUUUAUUAUUUUUAGCUCAACAAUCUUCCUACACCCUUUGAUAGCACAUGCAUGUAAAAUAAACAACUCUUAUGCCCAAUUAUUAUCUUGCUAAUCACCCAUAUUAGAUAAAAUUCAAAAUUAAUGGCUAGGGUGUAGAAUCUUUCCUUUUGGUUGAAGACCUAGUAAGUUUUCCUUGUUAAUCUUUUUGUGAUGACAAGCAUAGGAAUAUGGAAGUGGAGGAAAUUGAGCAUGGUCAAAAUGGAGAGUUCAAGCCCAUGUGAAAUGCCUACUUGAAGGAGGAAACAAAAAGCAAAAUGCCUUGGAGGAGCUUUUGAAAAAUAGUCUCCAAAAUAAUUUGGCGCUUAAAAGAUUGAACUUACAAAUGAGAGAAAUGCUUUAAGCUUUAGAGGUCCAAAAAGCCUCGGAAGUGAUAAUAGCCAAAAACCUUCCUUAGAGGUUGAAGCCGAAAAUCCUUCCUUGGCACUUGAUCAAAACCAAGAAGAACUCUCAAAUGCUCAAAAUGAGAGGUUGCUGCUCAUGUUGGAGGUCAUUCUUGAAAAUGAGGAGAAGCACAACUUGGCACUCGGCGACAUAAAACAAGCACUAAAUCGAAAUGAUGAGACUAUUCAGACUAUGGAAGAUCAAAUGAAAUCAUUGGUUGAGGAUCAUUAUGCCCACCAACUUGAGAGUGUGGAAAGAGUUCCAUAAAUGUCCUACUUCAAGGAAGAAAGUGAGCUUCAUGUUGAGGAAUCAAGAAUUUGUAAGGCCCCAUAAAAUUGUACCUAAAACCCGGGAUCUCGCAGUGCUGAGGUAGACUUACGUGUUCAUGAUUGUUGAGACAAGCUUGUCACGGUAUAGACUUUUUGGGUUGAACAGUGUGCUGGGGAUUAAAGGAAAUCUUUUUGGGCAGAACCAAGCAUUUCUGCGGUCCACUAUCCGACCAGAAAACCACUCUACAAGCCGCAUAAUGGUCGCAGAGUGGGGCAGAAAUUGGGCAAGUUUGGAUGCCCCUUUGCGGUCGACUAUGCGACCACAGAACAGGUCUGCAGUGGAUUGUGGGACCGCAAAACAAGUCUGCGGGCCGCAUAGUGACCACAAACCCAGUCAGUUUUGCCCAGUUUCAGAGGGCCAAUAUGCGACCCAUUUUACGGUCGGUAGAAGCAUUAUGCGGUCGCAUAUCCUGUUCCGAAACUUCAUUUUGGGGUUUUUAUAACCCGACCCUACAUCGUUAAAUAGAUGCAAUGGACUAUAUUUCUUGCAAAAUCUGAUAUUUUUUAGAGAGUGAGAGAGUGCCCUAGAGUGAGGGAGAGUUCCUCAACAAUUUGUCCUUCAAUUCUUGCUUAAAGUCAUCAGAAUACCCUGCAAAUCUCGCCCUCUUAUGCUGGCCCCUAUCCUACUCCCUAACUGCCCUCUGCUGGCGCUUACGAUCCUCUAGGGUCUGGGCAUAAGCUUGAAUACGGGAAAUAUCCAUGUCCUCUACCAAGGAGGCUGUCGUACACUCAUUUAUCAGAUGUGGUCCCAACCCAUUCACGAACAUAUGCACCCUAUCACUCAUCUCGGCCACCAAAUGGGGAGCAUACCUUGCCAAAGAAUCAAACUGUAUACUGUACUCUCGCACACUCAUAUUACCUUGUCUAAGGUUCAAGAACUUAUCAGCUCUAGCUCGUCGUAUCUCAACUGGCAAGUAGUGACGAAGAAAGGCCUCAGAAAAUUCCUUCCACACAGCUGGAGUAGCGUUCAGACCCCCUGUUCUCUCCCAACUAUCAUACCAGAUAACUGCUAAAUCCCGUAGCCGAUAAGAAGCCAUAUCUACUGCCUCUGUAUCACUAACAUGAAUAACCUGAAGUGUACAAUGAACCUGGUCAAUAAAAGUCUGUGGGUCCUCCUUGGGGUCUGAUCCGGUAAACACUAGAGGGUCUAAAUUAAUAAAAUCACGAACUUUUGUACUAACUGGUUUCUCAGCAGCACCUGUAUUCUGCCUCUGAGCCUGAGCAGCUACCAAGCUAGUCAAUAACUGCAAAGCACUCCGCAUAUCCUGGUCUGGAGUGCCAGACGGAGGAACUGGAGGCGCUGGGUGUCUUCUAAUAUCCUCUGGAGGAGAUGGAGUAGAUGAGGUAUGAGAGGGCAUCUCACUUUGAGCCUCACUUUGUCUUGCUCUGACUUGGGGAACCUGACUGGUACCCUCUCCCGCUGCUGUAUCAAGCCGUCUACUAAUCGUUUUCUUCCUAUUCGAAGGCAUCACUGAAAAAACAAGGUGAAUAUUAGAGACGAACACUUACGACUCAACUCUACGCACGAUCUAGAUUCAGGAAGAAGGUAACAACCCUAGAUGUCAUGUAGCCUCCUGAUUAUAAUUGUGGCGCGCUACAGAUCCAUAAUCAAGACUCUACUAGACANNNNNNNNNNNNNNNNNNNNNNNNNNNNNNNNNNNNNNNNNNNNNNNNNNNNNNNNNNNNNNNNNNNNNNNNNNNNNNNNNNNNNNNNNNNNNNNNNNNNNNNNNNNNNNNNNNNNNNNNNNNNNNNNNNNNNNNNNNNNNNNNNNNNNNNNNNNNNNNNNNNNNNNNNNNNNNNNNNNNNNNNNNNNNNNNNNNNNNNNNNNNNNNNNNNNNNNNNNNNNNNNNNNNNNNNNNNNNNNNNNNNNNNNNNNNNNNNNNNNNNNNNNNNNNNNNNNNNNNNNNNNNNNNNNNNNNNNNNNNNNNNNNNNNNNNNNNNNNNNNNNNNNNNNNNNNNNNNNNNNNNNNNNNNNNNNNNNNNNNNNNNNNNNNNNNNNNNNNNNNNNNNNNNNNNNNNNNNNNNNNNNNNNNNNNNNNNNNNNNNNNNNNNNNNNNNNNNNNNNNNNNNNNNNNNNNNNNNNNNNNNNNNNNNNNNNNNNNNNNNNNNNNNNNNNNNNNNNNNNNNNNNNNNNNNNNNNNNNNNNNNNNNNNNNNNNNNNNNNNNNNNNNNNNNNNNNNNNNNNNNNNNNNNNNNNNNNNNNNNNNNNNNNNNNNNNNNNNNNNNNNNNNNNNNNNNNNNNNNNNNNNNNNNNNNNNNNNNNNNNNNNNNNNNNNNNNNNNNNNNNNNNNNNNNNNNNNNNNNNNNNNNNNNNNNNNNNNNNNNNNNNNNNNNNNNNNNNNNNNNNNNNNNNNNNNNNNNNNNNNNNNNNNNNNNNNNNNNNNNNNNNNNNNNNNNNNNNNNNNNNNNNNNNNNNNNNNNNNNNNNNNNNNNNNNNNNNNNNNNNNNNNNNNNNNNNNNNNNNNNNNNNNNNNNNNNNNNNNNNNNNNNNNNNNNNNNNNNNNNNNNNNNNNNNNNNNNNNNNNNNNNNNNNNNNNNNNNNNNNNNNNNNNNNNNNNNNNNNNNNNNNNNNNNNNNNNNNNNNNNNNNNNNNNNNNNNNNNNNNNNNNNNNNNNNNNNNNNNNNNNNNNNNNNNNNNNNNNNNNNNNNNNNNNNNNNNNNNNNNNNNNNNNNNNNNNNNNNNNNNNNNNGCUGCAACAGAGCCGGAACAGGGCCCCGAUAUACCCAUAAUGUCUAUAACAAAAAUGCAUACCAAUACCAAGGCAAGUCCGGAGAAGGGAUCUCGCCAACCACCGCUGAACUGGACAGUCUACUAUAGUGGGGGAGCUGCACCUGCCUGUCUAUCAGGACCUGCAGCACGACAUGCAGCGUCCACAAAUAAAAGGACGUCAGUACGAAUAAAGUACUGAGUAUGUAAGGCAGGGAACCAUAAAUACUAUCAGUAAUGUAAGCAAGUAUAGAGAAUAGGAUCUUCAUAUAAUCGAUCACAAACACAUUAAGAUAGGUCCUAGAUAUAGUAUUCAUGAGAUCUAUAAAUGUUUCUAGGGAAUUUGUUAGCUCGAACGACAUCACCAAGAACUUAAAGUGCCCAUAUCUUGUCCGGAAGGCCGUCUUUGGAAUAUUCUUCUCCUUAACCCUCACAUGAUGAUACCCUGAACGUAAGUCAAUCUUGGAGAAAUACUUGGCACCCUGGAGUUGGUCAAACAGGUCGUCAAUCCUUGGAAGUGGAUACUUGUUCUUUAUAGUAAACUUAUUCAACUAUCGAUAAUCGAUACACAUCCUUAACAACUUGUCUUUCUUUCGCACGAACAAAACUGGCUCACCCUAAGGUGAAGUGCUAGGCCUAAUGAAUCCUUUAUCCAGCAAGUCUUUUAAUUGUGCAUUCAACUCUCACAACUCAGUCGGGGCCAUAUUGUAUGGAGGAAUAUAUAUGGGUUGAGUGUCAGGCAACACAUCAAUGCUAAACUCAAUCUCCCUUUCAGGAGGAAGGCUUGGGAGUUCAUCUGGGAAAACAUCUGGGAAUUCAUUUACCACAAGGAUUGAUUGUAGAGUAGGCAGCUUCUCUUCCGCAUCCCUAGCAAGAUGAUAAAUAUAACUUUUUGAGAUCAUCUUUCUUGCCUUAGGAUAGUAAAUAAACUACCUUUCGGCGUAGCAAUGUUCCCAUUCCAUUCAAUGACGGGUUCACCAGGAAACUAAAACAUAACCAUCUUCGUACGACAGUCAACAUUUGCAUAGCAUGAGGCCAACCAGUCCAUUCCCAUUAUCACAUUGAAAUCAACCAUUUCUAACUCAAAUAAAUUCAUCGAGGUUUGACGACUACAAAUCAUCACUAUGAAACCUCUAUAUACCCUCCUAGAAAUCACCGAAUCUCAUAUCGGAGUAGAUACCACAAGUGGUUUACUUAUCAAUUCAGGUUCAGCGCCAAACUUAUUUGCCACAAAGGGUGUAACAUAUGAUAAUUUUAUAUUCCGGAUCAAUCAAUGCGUAUACAUUGUAAGAAAACACAGACAAUAUACCUGUAAUAACAUCCGAAGACAACUCGAGAUCCUGUUGACCUACUAGAGCAAAUGUUCGAUUUUGAGCACCACUCGAACUUGGCACUGCACCUCUACCUCUACCACGACCUAUCGAUUUCUGAAAACCCUGUGCUGGAGGUCAAACUGAUGAGGAAGAACUAGACAUAGAUCCAGUUGGCUGAGCCAUACCACCACCUCCUCUGUUAGGACAAUCCCGUAUCAUAUGCCCGGGCUGUCCGCAAGAAUAGCACGCAUUAGAGCCUCGAUGGCACAGUCCAAAGUGGGCCUUUCCGCACUGAUCACAAUGUGUUAUUGGGGGUCUCGUCUGACUAGGUUCCCUGUGAUAUUGCGAGCAUGAUGCCCGCGAACUCUGACCUGGACCAGAAUAGGUAAAUCGAUCAUAUCGAGGCCUCUAAAACUGUGGAGGAGCACUAGCUAUAGGUGGCGCCAAACUCCUCGAAGACUAGGGCCUGACACUAACUCUGAAGUCAUCAGAAUACCCUGCAAAUCUCACCCUCUUAUUCAGGCCCCUAUCCUACUCCUUAUCUGCCCUUUGAUGGCGCUUACGAUCCUCUAGGGUCUGGGCAUAAUCCUGAAUACAGGAAAUAUCCAUGCCCUCUACCAAGGAGGUUGUUAUGCACUCAUUUAUCAGAUGUGGUCCCAACCUGUUCACGAACAGAUGUACCCUAUCGCUUAUCUUGGCCACCAUAUGGGGAGCAUACCUUGCUAAAGAAUCAAACAACAUAUUAUACUCUUGCAUACUCAUAUUACCUUGUCGAAGGUUCAAGAUCUUAUCAGGUCUAGCUCGUCGUAUCUCAACUGGCAAGUAGUGGCGAAGAAAGGCCUCAGAAACUUCCUUCCACACAGUUGGAGGACCGUUCGGACCCCUAGAUCUCUCCCAACUAUCAUACCAGAAAAUCGCUAAAUCCUGUAACCGAUAAUAAUCUAACUCUACUGCCUCUGUAUCAAUAGCAUGCAUAACCCACAGUGUAUGAUGAACAUGAUCAAUAAAAGUAUGUGGGUCCUCCUUGGGGUCUGAUCCGGUAAACACUGGAGGGUCUAGAUUAAUAAAAUCACAAACUCUCGUACUAGCCAGUUUCUCAACAACGCCGGUAUUCUGCCUCUGAGCCUGAGCAGCUACCAAGCUAGUCAACAACCGCACUGCACUCUGCAUCUCUUAGUGUGUAGUGCCAAACGACAGAACUAGUGGUGUUGGGUGCCUCCUAAUAUCCUCUUGAGGAGAUGGAGUAGAUGAGGUAUGAGAUGGUAUCUCACUCUGAGCCUCAUUUUGGCUUGCUCUGGCUUGAGGAACCUGAUUGGUACCCUCCCCCACAGCUGUAUCAAGUGGUCUACUGAUCGGUUGCUUCCUAGUCGAAGUCAUCACUAAAAGAAAAUAAGGUGAAUAUUAGAGACAAACACUUACGACCCAACUCUACGCACGAUCUAGAUUUAGGAAGAAGGUAACAACCCUAGAUGUCAUGUAGCCUCCUAAUUAUAAAUGUGGCAUGCUACACAUCCAUAAUCAAGACUCUACUAGACACGGCUCAUAGACAACCCCUAGGAUAGACUUGCUCUGAUACCAAGUUUUUCACAACCCAAAUUGGAGGAUCAUGACUAGCACCCGAGUCAUACUUGCCGAGCACCAAUGUACAUUUUAUCUAACCUUCCUUAUUAUCUUUAAGGGCCGGCGAGAUCAUUAUAAAUGGUAGAUAUAAAUCAUGAACAACAAAUAAUGAAAGAUAAUGGCAUAAACAUACAUAACAUAGGAUGACAAGACUGCCAAGAAACUACAUAUAAGGUACGAGCUACCAUGCUCCCAUGAAAGACUAUACAACAAAAAUUAGCCGACAAGGCAUACCAAACUAUACAUGAGUUGACCCAUGUCUAUGAGCCUCUAAAAGAGCAAAAGGGCUGGAAUAGUGCCGGAACAGGGCCCCGACAUACCCAUAAUAUUUAUAACAAAAAUGCAUACCAAGACCAUGGCAAGUCCGGAGAAGGGAUCUCGCCAAUAACCGUUGAACUAGAAAGCCUAUUGUGGCGGGGGAGCUGCGUCCACCUAUCUAUCAGGACCUGCAGCACGACAUGUAGUAUCCACAAAUAUAAAGGAUGUCAGUACGAAUAAAGUACUAAGUAUGUAAGGCAGGAAAGCAUAAUUAAGAAUAGUAAUGUACACAGGGAUAGAGAAUAUAUAACCUGUAAAAUCUGGAUACCUCUAAGGACUACUGUGACGACCCGGCCAGUCGUCUCAUGAGUUACCGCUCUGUUUUCCCCAUUUCUGCUUCUUAUUGCUUUGCCUAUCAGUUGUAUAUGUGAUCGGGUUGGUUGGCUCGGGUUCAGAAAGGAUUUGGUAAGGUUUGAGACACUUAGUCUCUUUUGAGGAAGCUUAAGUUGAAAAAGUCAACCGGAUGUUGACUUAUGUGUUAGAGGGAUCAGAUGUGAAUUCUGAUGGUUUGGAUAGCUUUGGGAGGUGAUUUGGUACUUAGGAACGUGAUCGGAAUGUNNNNNNNNNNNNNNNNNNNNNNNNNUGGUGAGAUUUUGAUAUAGUGGUCGGAAUGGAAUUCUGAGAGUUGCAGUAGUUUUUUUGUGUCAUUUGGGAUGUGUGUGCAAAACUUUAGGUCAUUCGGACAUGGUUUGCUUGGGUUUUUUUUAUCAAAAGCGUAAUUUAGAAGACUUUGGAAUUCUUAGGCUUGAAUCUGAUGCGAAUUUGGUAUUUUGAUGUUGUUUCAAGCAUUACGAAGAUUGAAAUAGGUUUGAAUGAUGUUAUGGGAUAUGUUGGCAUGUUUGAUUGAGGUCUCGAGGGCCUCGGGUGAGUUUCGAGUGGUCAAUCGGAUCAUUUCUUGAUGUUGAGAGUUGCAGAAAUUUUUGUUCAGUGUUGCAGAGAAAUGGCCUUUGCGUUCACAAGGAAGGCUCCGCGUUCGCAAAGGGUUGAGUGAUCGAGCAUCACGUUCGCAAGGGAAGCUCCACGUUCGCGUAGAGGCAAUUGGCCAGCUGGUUUUGAGGUCGAGUUGUUCAUUGCGUUCACGAGAGAGGGGGUGCGUUCGCGAAGAGUUGUCUGAGGAAGCAUCGCAUUUGCGAUGGGUAGGUCGUGAUCACGAAGAGGAAAUUUUGGUCAAAUCUGAUUUGUGCUUCGCAAACACGAGGCUUUGACUGCAUUCGCGAAGAAGGAAAUGAGGCCUGGAUAGAAUGUUUAAAAGCGAUUUUGGGGUUUAUUUCCACCAUUUUUGAGCGUUUUUGGAGCUUCUGAAGAGGAUUAAAGAGGGAUUCAAGGGGAAUCACUUGGAGGUAAGAUUCAUGGACUUAAAACUUGAUUCUAAUGUGAAAUAUACCUUAUUAAUCAUGGAAAUUAAGCCUAAAAUUGAAGAACUAGGGCUUGAAAUUGGAGACAUAGAAUUUGGGAUUUGAGAGGUCGUUUAUGGUUGGAUUUUGAUGCUUUUGGUAUGAAUGAACUCAGGGAGUGAUAAGGAAUCUAUUGAUGUGAUUUUUAUCAGAAUAUGAGACGUGGGUCCGGGGGUCGUGUUUUGGUAAUUUCGGGAUUUAUGUUGUAAAUUGAUUAUUUUCGCUUGGGCUUCGUUCCCUUAGCAUAUUUUGAUGUCGUGAUUCUGAUUUUGGAUACAUUCGACACGGGUGGAGGCCGAUUCGAGAGGCAAAGACGUCGCGGGCUAGAGUUUGGACCGGAUUGAGGUGAGUAAUGAUUGUAAAUGAUGUCUUGAGGGUAUGAAACCUCGGAUUGCACAUCGUUGUGCUACAUUGCGGUGACGCACAUGCUUGAUGAUAAGCGUAGGGUCGUGCACUAUUGGGGAUUAUGACUUAGUCCAUCCCGAAUGACUAUUUUAUCGCGUAUUUGACUGAAAACUAUUUGCUAUCAUCAUGUUUUGGGCUGAAUGCCAUAUUUGGGCCUCGUGCCAACUAUAUGAACCCUUAGGGGAUUUUUACUGAUAUUUCCUCACUGUUUUGACUUUAUACUUGAACUCAGUCAUGCUAUAUUCUACUAUUUUUGUAACUCAACCAUGUUUACUCUGCUUUAACACUUAAAUGAGAUUUUGGGCUGAGCAUCAUGUUUUACUGUUGCCCGAGUGGCUUGUGAGAAUUUUGACUGAGUAAGGACGAGGGCCUAUGUUGUGAGGAAACACCUGAUUAUGAUUUUGAGGCCGAGGGUCUGAGAUUUGUAUGCCACGAGGUGGCUUGUUGAUAUGAGGUUGAGGGCCUAGUGAUGAUGCCACAAGAUGGCUUGAUAUUGCGCUUGGUCCGUAAGGGGCCCCUCCAGGAGUCUGCACACCCCCAGUGAGCGCAGGUACCCAUUGUGAUGUGAGAUAUAACUCGAGUGAUUGGUAUUCUUCUGAGAUAUUGCCCGAGGGGCAGAUUUGUUGAUAUUGUGCCCUAGGGGCGAACCAUUUAUGUGUCUAUCUUUCUUAUUGCCAGUCAUUUUCCUGCUUAAUUGUUGAAAAGGCAUUUCAUGAAGUUUAAUUGAACUAAAAUGAUUUUUACAUAUCUUUACAGAUUCACUAUCUACUGGCUUUUACUGCUUCAUUAUAGCCUGUAAUGUGCCUUACAUGAUUUCUUGCUUUCAGUCUUUAUUUAUGAUUAUUACUCACUGAGUUGGAGUACUCACUUUACUUCCUGCACCCCGUAUACAGACUCAGGCAUUGCUGAUCCUGCUAGCGAGAGUUGAGAGCUCCCGGUAGACUUCGGAGUUCACGAGGUAGCUGUUUGGCGUCCGCAGUCCCAUGUUUCUCCCCCUUUUAUCUCAUUUCUAUCUCUUUUAAGUUAUUCUAUAAUAGCUUGGUAGGCAUUUCAGACUUGUAAUGUAUUGAUAGAUGCUCAUGACUUGUGACACCCCAGUAUCGGGCUGUGUUGGAUUUAUUUUUUCGCAAACUAUUCGGUUAAUUGCUUACCUUUGGGUUAUUUAUUACGUUUUAGACUUAAUUAUUAUUGUUUAAUUGCUUAAAACUAGAAUGGGAAAGUCUCGGCUGGCUUGUCUUCAUGAGAGACGCCAUCACGACCGGGUCCGGGUUAGGGUCGUGACAAGUUGGUAUCAGAGCCUAGGUUACAUAGGUCUGACGAGUCAUGAGAAUGUUUAGUAGAGUCUCACGGAUCGGUACAGAGACGUUUGUAUUUAUCCUCGGGAGGCUGCAGAACCUUUAGGAAAAACUUUAUAUUCUUGAAAUUCUUGUCGUGCGAAUUUGUUGAUCCGAGUACUAACAUUUGUUAUUCUAUUCUCUCACAGAUGGUGAGGACACACGCUACCGGUCAGGAUGGACAACCAUCAGUACCACCAGUUGUGGCCACUAGAGGCCGAGGAUGCGGUCGAGGUCAUGGUCGCGGUAGGGACAAGGGUGUGGCCCACAUAGAAGCUAGGGCGGCACCUGCAUAUCCACCAGCCGCCCCAGUUCAGGAUCAUGUUCCAGUUGUGGACGCUCCAGCAGCACCAGCUCAGGCACCAGUUGUACCCAUUGUGAUUCCGGGUCUUUAGGAGGCCUUGGCUCAGAUUCUAUCAGUUUGCACUAGCCUAGCUUAGGCAGUCUCAGUUACGAUAGCCGUAACUACUUCUCAGGACGGGGGAGGCACUCAGUCUCCUGCCGCUCGCACACCUGAGCAGGUCGUGCAGGGACUUCAGACAUCGGGGGCACAUCCAGCCCAGCCGGUUGCAAUUGCUCAGGACUAUGUAAAUCCUGCCAUGCCAAAGAAUGAGCAGCAUAGGUUGGAG